This 387-nucleotide ribosomal RNA is filed under the name uncultured Acidaminobacter sp. Its description in RNAcentral is "bacterial SSU rRNA". It matches the Rfam family "Bacterial small subunit ribosomal RNA", at positions 993 to 1382 of the family's 1533-position model. The record is from RNAcentral. Lineage: Bacteria; Bacillati; Bacillota; Clostridia; Peptostreptococcales; Acidaminobacteraceae.
UGAAUGGCGCUUAGCAGCGCAGGUCUUUCGGGACGAGAGGAGACAGGUGGUGCAUGGUUGUCGUCAGCUCGUGUCGUGAGAUGUUGGUUAAGUCCCGCAACGAGCGCAACCCUUGCCUUUAGUUGCCAGCACGUUAUGGUGGGCACUCUAGAGGGACUGCCGGUGACAAACCGGAGGAAGUGGGAUGACGUCAAAUCAUCAUGCCCCUUAUGAUCUGGGCUACACACGUGCUACAAUGGCCGGUACAACGAGAAGCGAAACCGCGAGGUGAAGCAAUCUUUUAAAGCCGGUCCCAGUUCGGAUUGCAGGCUGAAACUCGCCUGCAUGAAGUUGGAGUUGCUAGUAAUCGCGGAUCAGCAUGCCGUGGUGAAUGCGUUCCCGGGUCUU